UUAUAUAUCACCAUAAUAAGGCUGGAGUUGCUGUUUUCUCAACCCUUUUAGGUUAACUUUUGUGUUGCAACACAAAAACUGAUAAUUGAGGUUCAUGGCAUGAUGUGUGUGAUUCCAAAUAGGGUAAGGAUAGCAGCAAACUACAGGUUAAAUUAAAUAUCGACCAUAGUUUUAGUUGAGCUAUAAAUGCUUUGUUGCUCCCUUUUUCUUUUCUUGGUAAAUAAGAAAUAGCAUCUAUUUGCAUCCGCCUGCAGCAGGUCUAUUACUUCAACUGUGGCAAGUGAUGCACCUGCAGUCCCGUUCCCAUUCAUGUUGCCUUCUCUGAGUUUGUGUUGUACCCUUCUUACCUCUCAGUCCCGUUGUAGCAUUCCGUUCAACGCUCGAACUAUAGCAUUAUGAUGCUGCCUCUUUACAGCUAGUCGGUCGCUGCACUAUAGCAGUGUUAUCGACCUCCAAAACUACUCUUGGAAUGAAUUUAUUGUGAUUCAUAAUUUUCGUGUAUGUUGAUUCGUCAUUCUCAAGCAAUAAAUUUAUUGUGAUU
This 541-nucleotide long non-coding RNA is filed under the name Gossypium barbadense (sea-island cotton). RNAcentral's name for it is "long non-coding RNA (GBAR_LNC017696)". Lineage: Eukaryota; Viridiplantae; Streptophyta; Magnoliopsida; Malvales; Malvaceae. The record is from RNAcentral.